CCUGGUGGCUAAGUAGGUAAAGAAUCUGCCUGCAAUGAAGGAGACCCAGGUUCAAACCCUGGGUCAGGA
Molecule: transfer RNA, 69 nt
Filed under: Bos taurus (domestic cattle)
Lineage: Eukaryota; Metazoa; Chordata; Mammalia; Artiodactyla; Bovidae
Also listed under: 1 other name
Rfam family: tRNA
About the family: Transfer RNA (tRNA) molecules are approximately 80 nucleotides in length. Their secondary structure includes four short double-helical elements and three loops (D, anti-codon, and T loops).
Source: Rfam by way of RNAcentral